Molecule: ribosomal RNA, 541 nt
Filed under: Trichormus variabilis ISB27
Lineage: Bacteria; Bacillati; Cyanobacteriota; Cyanophyceae; Nostocales; Nostocaceae
Description: bacterial SSU rRNA
Rfam family: Bacterial small subunit ribosomal RNA
Source: RNAcentral
ACGGGUGAGUAACGCGUGAGAAUCUGGCUUCAGGUCUGGGACAACCACUGGAAACGGUGGCUAAUACCGGAUGUGCCGAGAGGUGAAAGGCUUGCUGCCUGAAGAUGAGCUUGCGUCUGAUUAGCUAGUUGGUGGGGUAAGAGCCUACCAAGGCGACGAUCAGUAGCUGGUCUGAGAGGAUGAUCAGCCACACUGGGACUGAGACACGGCCCAGACUCCUACGGGAGGCAGCAGUGGGGAAUUUUCCGCAAUGGGCGAAAGCCUGACGGAGCAAUACCGCGUGAGGGAGGAAGGCUCUUGGGUUGUAAACCUCUUUUCUCAGGGAAGAAAAAAAUGACGGUACCUGAGGAAUAAGCAUCGGCUAACUCCGUGCCAGCAGCCGCGGUAAUACGGAGGAUGCAAGCGUUAUCCGGAAUGAUUGGGCGUAAAGGGUCCGCAGGUGGCUGUGUAAGUCUGCUGUUAAAUAGUCAUGCUCAACAUGAUAAAGGCAGUGGAAACUACAUAGCUAGAGUGCGUUCGGGGCAGAGGGAAUUCCUGGUGU